GACGAACGCUGGCGGCGUGCCUAAUACAUGCAAGUAGAACGCUGAAGGAGGAGCUUGCUUCUCUGGAUGAGUUGCGAACGGGUGAGUAACGCGUAGGUAACCUGCCUGGUAGCGGGGGAUAACUAUUGGAAACGAUAGCUAAUACCGCAUAAUAGUAGAUGUUGCAUGACAUUUGCUUAAAAGGUGCAAUUGCAUCACUACCAGAUGGACCUGCGUUGUAUUAGCUAGUUGGUGGGGUAACGGCUCACCAAGGCGACGAUACAUAGCCGACCUGAGAGGGUGAUCGGCCACACUGGGACUGAGACACGGCCCAGAACCCUACGGGAGGCAGCAGUAGGGAAUCUUCGGCAAUGGACGGAAGUCUGACCGAGCAACGCCGCGGGAGUGAAGAAGGGUGUCGGAUCGUAAAGCUCUGUUGUAAGAGAAGAAAGAGUGUGAGAGUGGAAAGUUCACACUGUGACGGUAUCUUACCAGAAAGGGACGGCUAACUACGUG
Molecule: ribosomal RNA, 495 nt
Filed under: uncultured bacterium
Lineage: Bacteria
Description: partial 16S ribosomal RNA
Rfam family: Bacterial small subunit ribosomal RNA
Source: RNAcentral